AUUGGAACACAAUUGGACCCUCAUCCAUCCCAGCUAAUGAGUCUACAACAGUAGCACACAAUUCCACAAUUGGACCAUCACCCACCUCAGCUAAUGCCUCUAAACUAACAGAGAAUUCCACAUAUGGACCUUCACCCACCCCAGCUAAUGAAUCUAAACCAGCAGAGAAUUCCACAUCUGGACCCUCACCCCCCCCAGCUAAUGUAUCUAAGCCAGCAGAGAAUUUCACAAUUGGACCUUUACCCACUCCAGAGAAUUCCACAGUUAGACCAUCAACCACUCCAGCUAAUGAAUCUAAACCAGCAGAAAAUUCCACAGUUGCCCCCUCACCCACCCCAGCUAAUGAAUCUAAACCAGAGAAUUCAACAGUUAGACCAUCAACCACUCCAGCUAAUGAAUCUAAACCAGCAGGUAUGUGUAAGAGGCAGACAGUAUAAUGAGCUCAGUGGAUGUAACAAAGUCUUUGUAACA
RNAcentral lists this long non-coding RNA (471 nucleotides) under Astyanax mexicanus (Mexican tetra). RNAcentral's name for it is "lncRNA (ENSAMXG00005017907.1)". The record is from RNAcentral. Lineage: Eukaryota; Metazoa; Chordata; Actinopteri; Characiformes; Acestrorhamphidae.